CGUUUGUCUCCUGACGGCGGUGAUGGAGGCCAGGCCGCGGCGCUGAUGGAGGCGGGAAAGGCUAGAUGUACACCUUUAAUGAUGUCCAAGUCGUCAGUGGUAUAUCUCCUUCUUCUUCUUCCGCUGCAUUAUUAUCCCGUUUCUAUUCGGGGUCGCUGUUUUUGAUGAGUCUCCUCCAUCUAACCCUGUCCUCCGCCACUUCAAGGUCCAAGCUGUUUUUGAUGAGUCUCCUCCAUCUAACCCUGUCCUCCGCCACUUCAAGGUCCAAGCUGUUUUUGAUGAGUCUCCUCCAUCUAACCCUGUCCUCCGCCACUUCAAGGUCCAAGCUGUUUUUGAUGAGUCUCCUCCAUCUAACCCUGUCCUCCGCCACUUCAAGGUCCAAGCUGUUUUUGAUGAGUCUCCUCCAUCUAACCCUGUCCUCC
This is a long non-coding RNA of Eriocheir sinensis (Chinese mitten crab), 422 nucleotides long. RefSeq lists it as uncharacterized. NCBI's taxonomy places the organism in Eukaryota, Metazoa, Arthropoda, Malacostraca, Decapoda, Varunidae. The transcript has 4 exons. The record is from RefSeq and is a predicted model, not a curated record.